RNAcentral lists this transfer RNA (77 nucleotides) under Escherichia coli. RNAcentral's name for it is "tRNA-Pro". It matches the Rfam family "tRNA". Rfam says of the family: Transfer RNA (tRNA) molecules are approximately 80 nucleotides in length. Their secondary structure includes four short double-helical elements and three loops (D, anti-codon, and T loops). The record is from RNAcentral. Lineage: Bacteria; Pseudomonadati; Pseudomonadota; Gammaproteobacteria; Enterobacterales; Enterobacteriaceae. RNAcentral also lists the same sequence under 10 other names.
CGGCACGUAGCGCAGUCUGGUAGCGCACCGUCAUGGGGUGUCGGGGGUCGGAGGUUCAAAUCCUCUCGUGCCGACCA